AAUAGAUACCCCGGUAGUCCACGCCGUAAACGAUGGAUGCUAGCUGUUAGGAGUAUCGACCCUUCUAGUAGCGAAGCUAACGCGUUAAGCAUCCCGCCUGGGGAGUACGGUCGCAAGAUUAAAACUCAAAGGAAUUGACGGGGACCCGCACAAGUGGUGGAGCGUGUUCUUUAAUUCGAUGAUAAGCGAAGAACCUUACCAGGGCUUGACAUCCUUGGAAUUUCUGCGAAAGCAGAGAGUACUUUAUUGGACCAAGUGACAGGUGUUGCAUGGCCGUCGUCAGCUCGUGUCGUGAGAUGUUAGGUUAAGUCCUUCAACGAGCGCAACCCUUAUGUUUAGUUGGAUUUUUUCUAAACAGACUGCCUCGGCAACGGGGAGGAAGGAGGGGAUGAUGUCAGGUCAUUAUUACCCUUACGUCCUGGGCUAGAAACGCGCUACAAUGGCCGGUACAGAGGGCAGCCAACCCGCGAGGGGGAGCAAAUCCCCAUCAAAACCGGUCCCAGUUCGGAUUGCAGGCUGAAACUCGCCUGCAUGAAGCCGGAAUCACUAGU
Molecule: ribosomal RNA, 551 nt
Filed under: uncultured bacterium
Lineage: Bacteria
Description: bacterial SSU rRNA
Rfam family: Bacterial small subunit ribosomal RNA
Source: RNAcentral